Transfer RNA from Selaginella moellendorffii, 72 nucleotides. It matches the Rfam family "tRNA". Rfam says of the family: Transfer RNA (tRNA) molecules are approximately 80 nucleotides in length. Their secondary structure includes four short double-helical elements and three loops (D, anti-codon, and T loops). The record is from Rfam. NCBI's taxonomy places the organism in Eukaryota, Viridiplantae, Streptophyta, Lycopodiopsida, Selaginellales, Selaginellaceae.
GGAUCCGUGGCGCAAUGAUAGCGCAUCUGACUCCAGAUCAGAAGGCUGCGUGUUCGAAUCACGCCGGAUCCA